This 920-nucleotide ribosomal RNA is filed under the name uncultured marine archaeon DCM74161. Its description in RNAcentral is "bacterial SSU rRNA". It matches the Rfam family "Archaeal small subunit ribosomal RNA", at positions 1 to 926 of the family's 1478-position model. The record is from RNAcentral.
GGGAUUUCCGGUUGAUCCUNNNGGACCUGACUGCUAUCGGAUUAAUACUAAGCCAUGCGAGUUUUUGUAGUAAUACAAGGCAUACGGCUCAAUAACACGUAGUCAACCUACCUUAUGGACGAGGAUAAUCUCGGGAAACUGAGCAUAAUACUCGAUAGAUCAUAAUGCCUGGAAUGGUUUAUGGUUGAAAUGAUUCGUCGCCAUAAGAUGGGACUGCGGCCUAUCAGCUUGUUGGUGAGGUAAUGGCCCACCAAGGCGAUUACAGGUACGGGCUCUGAGAGGAGAAGCCCGGAGAUGGGUACUGAGACAAGGACCCAGGCCCUAUGGGGCGCACAGGCGAGAAAACUUUGCAAUGUGCGAAAGCAGACAAGGUUAGUCCGAGUGAUUUCUGCUAAAGAGAUCUUUUGCAAGUUCUAAAACCACUAGUGAAUAAGGGGUGGGCAAGUUCUGGUGUCAGCCGCCGCGGUAAAACCAGCACCUCGAGUGGUCAGGAGGAUUAUUGGGCCUAAAGCAUCCGUAGCCGGCUCUGUAAGUUUUCGGUUAAAUCCAUGUGCUCAACACAUGGGCUGUCGGAAAUACUGCAUAGCUAGGGAGUGGGAGAGGUAGACGGUACUCAGUAGGAAGGGGUAAAAUCCUUUGAUCUAUUGAUGACCACCUGUGGCGAAGGCGGUCUACCAGAACACGUUCGACGGUGAGGGAUGAAAGCUGGGGGAGCAAACCGGAUUAGAUACCCGGGUAGUCCCAGCUGUAAACGAUGCAGACUCGAUGAUGCAUUGGCAUAUAGCCAGUGCAGUGUCGCAGGGAAGCCGUUAAGUCUGCCGCCUGGGAAGUACGUACGCAAGUAUGAAACUUAAAGGAAUUGGCGGGGGAGCACCACAAGGGGUGAAGCUGCGGUUCAAUUGGAUUCAACGCCGGGAAUC